GACGAACGCUGGCGGCGUGCUUAACACAUGCAAGUCGAACGAUGAAGCGCUGUCCUUUCGGGGGUGGUGUGGAUUAGUGGCGAACGGGUGAGUAAUACGCGGGCAACCUGCCCCUCUGCUUCGGGAUAAGCUUUGGAAACGGGGUCUAAUACCGGAUGUGCCUGUCUGGUCGCAUGGCUGGGCGGGGAAAGAUGUUUCGGCGGGGGAUGGGCUCGCGGCCUAUCAGCUUGUUGGUGGGGUGAUGGCCUACCAAGGCGUCGACGGGUAGCCGGCCUGAGAGGGUGGUCGGCCACACUGGGACUGAGAUACGGCCCAGACUCCUACGGGAGGCAGCAGUGGGGGAUAUUGCACAAUGGGCGCAAGCCUGAUGCAGCGACGCCGCGUGGGGGAUGGAGGCUUUCGGGUUGUAAACCCCUUUCGGCGCGGGACAAGGCUCCGUUUGGCGG
RNAcentral lists this ribosomal RNA (446 nucleotides) under Actinomyces sp. oral taxon 446. RNAcentral describes it as "bacterial SSU rRNA". It matches the Rfam family "Bacterial small subunit ribosomal RNA", at positions 28 to 464 of the family's 1533-position model. Lineage: Bacteria; Bacillati; Actinomycetota; Actinomycetes; Actinomycetales; Actinomycetaceae. The record is from RNAcentral.